RNAcentral lists this transfer RNA (78 nucleotides) under Sphaerodactylus townsendi. Its description in RNAcentral is "tRNA-Thr". Lineage: Eukaryota; Metazoa; Chordata; Lepidosauria; Squamata; Sphaerodactylidae. The record is from RNAcentral.
AGAGGUUCUAUUUUGUCUCAGUGGUACAGCAUCUGCUUGGUGUGCAGAACGUUCCCGGUUCAAUUCCUGGUAUUUCCU